CUGACUGACAGCAGUGUCACUUAAGCAUGGCAUUCAAAAAUGUAAAAAACUUGAGGACGGAGGAUUAACAAGUGCCUGGACUUCAGUGUCAGUACAUCUAUCGCUGUUUUCAGUGUACGAGGAGUAAAAUAGAAACUAGAGCUCCAUACAUUAGCAGAGUGAGAGCGUGAGACAGAGCCUGGAAGCGUGUGUCUCACGCCAAAUGCGUGAGAGUUGUUGAAUCUAAUCGAAAUGUUUUCCUUUCUUCACAAAUGCCGCUGUCACCUGCUCCACCACAAAAGAUCUGCAUCAAAUGAACAGCAAUCAAGAAUCAGAAAAGUGCUGUAAUAACUCCGUUUGAAAUUAUAAUAACUAAAAUAAAC
Molecule: long non-coding RNA, 362 nt
Organism: Cyprinus carpio (common carp)
Lineage: Eukaryota; Metazoa; Chordata; Actinopteri; Cypriniformes; Cyprinidae
Source: RefSeq, a predicted model, not a curated record